CUGAUUUCCAAGCCUCCCACCCCAGGUCGGACCCGGUGUCUGCACGGGAAAUAGUCCUCGACGUCCCACCAGUGGCCGGACCCCUUCUCCAGCUCCUCUGGCCUUGCUGGCAGGUUGUACACCUUCCCUUCCCGGCCUGACCGGCAACUCAAGUGACGUUUCUCCGAGCAUCAGGGGAGUCGCAUGUCCCGCACUGUUCCAAAGUUCUCGUUAAGCCACUCGGCUUUCAGGAAAGACCUGCACGAAUCCCUGUUUUCGCGGACCGCAAGAAAUCAGAAGAGGGUUUCUGCUUUGCCGCAAAACGGUGAAAGUUGGACUCCCAGGAGAGGACCAGAUUGGCCAAGUGGCCUCCAUCCAGCACCAGCUGUUCCAGAUGGGCAGAUCUUUACGCCGGGCCACCCACGCGGGCUGUCCGUACAUCAAGUACCCACUCAUGGGCUACCCAAUUUGCUAGUGGAUCUCAUGGCUUGGCAAGCUGUGUCUUGAACCCACUGGCUGGGGACACCUGCAGGAGGGAGGGACCGCGACAUCCCGAGGAUUCCCGGAAGGAGGAAACACAAUCAGCCAGCGCCUAACUUGGCUUUUCCCUGUGCAGAAAGCUUCCAACAAGCCAGAAAUGAAUCUGAGUUACAACUGCUGAUGCCCCCAAGGAUUUCAAAUGGAAUGGGACAAAGGAAAGCAGGAUUUGUAUUUAAAAAAAAAAAAAAAAGAAAAGACGAAUCUGGCAAAAACAUAAUGAGAACGGACUGGAGAGGGAAGGACCUGGAAACUGGAAGAAUCGUGAGGAUCUUAUAAUGGGUCCUCAUGCCUCCAGGCACCGGGAAGUGGGUGGUGAUGACGGGGACAGGGACAACGGGGCAGCUCCCAGAGACAGGUGGAAGGAGGCAUUGAUGGAACUUAGAGUGGAGUAGCCAAGGACGGACAGGGAGAAGGACCACCCAAGGGCAACAUAGGGGCUCUGAACCUUGUGGUGGAGAAAACAAACCUCACUAAGAGAAACAGUAAGUAGAAAGGGAACAGAUAUGAGGGGAGCGCCUGCAGAUAUAUGAACUUAUACCCGGUGAUACACACCAAGAACCCCCCCCAACUCUUGCUACGCAGGAAACAGUGUGGUCCUAGCACUGAGUCACCUUGUUGUGUAGACAGCUUCGUAAUGUUCUGUUCUACUCAGGAGUCUGGGAACUCCAAACACACAACUCCCGCUUUCUAGAUUUUGCCCAGUUUUCUUAGGGUCCUCCAAGGCCAGGUCUGGGUCCCCAGUAAUGAGGCGCCAACCACGCUUCUUUGAUGUCCUCCACUCACCCCUGUCCAAGUGAUUUUUUAAAUGAUGUUUAAAUCAUUAAAAGCGUAGCUCUCAUACAAAUACAUACCGAGCACAUGCUGAAGAGAUCUUUUACACACUAAUGAGGAAACCAGCAGGAUGGUAAAACUGGUUCAAAGAGCAUUUGUGGAACAGACAUGUAUAUGUUCUCUCAGGAAAAAGAAUGUCGAAAUAAGUUGGCUAAGUUAGACACAAAGCAAGUUAACGGCCUAUAAGGCGAUACAGCUGUAACCUGUUAGGCUGCCUUCUCAACCGGACAGAACUGUUUGCAUCUGUACCACACAAAAAGUCGUUUGCCCCUUGGCAAUUGUCUACAGGGUAACUUCUGACUUCACGCAGCUUCAGCCUUGGUCAGCAGUUCAUAGUAGGUCAAACUUGGUAUUUCCUCUAGAGACGUGGAUGGUUCUUCACGGGCCUUUUCACGUUCCAGUUUGGCCUGACUGGUCCUACCGUCAUCCUCUUGCUUUAUUUCCAAGUUUCGAAUAAUUCUUGACGCUCACCUUCCAUUUUUAAGACGGAAUAUCUUAGCUCAAGCAUCAUUUCCUCCCAUAUGCCUUCCUUGACUUGCCUGAUAAGGUCAGACCCCCCUUCAUUUGCUUCCAGAGCUCAGAGUAGUUCACCGUCACAGCAGUUAGGGGAAAGAAAAAAUUAUUCUGACCCUUGUUACAAUGGUAAUAAGACUUACUUGGGACUAUUGCAAUAGGUGUCAAGACAAUCACGAUAAGGAAUAAAAUCUUUAAAAAAAGAAAAAGGAGGGAGGCACCUGGGUGGCUCAGUGGGUUAAAGCCUCUGCCUUCAGCUCAGGUCAUGAUCCCAGCGUCCUGGGAUUGAGCCUACGUUGUGUUCUCUGCUCAAUGGGGAGCCUGCUUCCCUUCCUCUCUCUGCCUGCUUGUGAUCUCUGUCUGUCAAAUAAAUAAAUAAAAUCUUAAAAAAAAAAAAAAAAAAAGACAAUCACAAUAGGGAAGAGGGUUGGGGCCCAACGCCCCAAACCAGGACAAGUGGGCGUUCACAGCCAAUGAGCUGAGUGAGGGGGCAGGGGAUGGAAAGUUACUAAGAGGACACAUGGUGGGGGGAGGGGGAUUCUUGCUAAACCGACUUAGGAGAUUCAAGCUGAAGGCAAACCAGGGAGAGCAGAUCUCGGGGUAGGGUGGGGUAGUCUCCCUGAACUAAUUCAGCAGGAUUCUUGCUAAGACUGGACAAUGCAGGACCAGCCAGGACAGAGUGGGGGCCAGGUCGAAGCCUUGUCACGGAGAGGGCUCAGAGAGCCUGGCUAAAAUUGGGUCAAGGAGAGAGUUUUACCACUCCUCUCACUUUUAUGUGCAGCCACAUCAUUCACAUCUGCCUCCUCUUCUAGACCAUAAGCUCCCUGAGGACAAGGCCAUCGCCAGCUUCUGCUUACCAUCCCGCCCCAGCACCUCCACUGGACUUGAAGCAUAGAAGGGGCUCAAUAACUAUUUCCUGAAUGAAUGAAUGAAUGAAUGAGUGAAUGAAUGCCCAGGAGAUUCAGCAGGAGGAAUGCCCUGGAAGGCAGGGAACAGUUGUCCACAGACUGCUGCUAAUGCCCUUCCUGGCGGUCAUGGUUUCCCUUCUUUGUUUCUAUUUGCUUAGUUGCACCUUUUCUCAUUUGACUGCCUGGCUGGGAAUUCAGCUCUAGGGGGACUCGGAGCAAAGUCAAAGUCUUUGCUCCUGCAGCUUGCUGAUGCUGACUCAACCAGCGCUGCCUGCUGAGGCCUAAACACACUGAUCAAAGACUGGGAAGCAGCUAACCUUAGUCUGUGGUGCAGAUGGUUUGUACAGCCUGCCCUCAGCCUCUCGUUCCUUCCCCAUUUUCCAGGAGCUUUGGGAUCCCCUGCCAGCCUUACACUGGGGGCAGGGGGGAUUUCUGAGGCCCCAGUGGCUACCCCACUGCUCCAUUAUUUAGUUUGAUUAGAAAAGGGAGGGUGAAGGAAGGUUUGCUGAGCACCAAGGAUUGGGAAAGGGAUUUUUUUUUUUUUUUCAGGAAAAAGCUUUUUUAAGAGCAAAACACUGGGAGUAGGAUUUGGGUAUCGUGUCUUGCUCCCCUUCCCCCCCGACCUCCCAAGUAAUAUGUCAGUACGGUUUUUGAGGCCCUCCCAUUUCCACUUUACCUGUUUCUAGUCAAUUCCAAGCCCAUGCCGCCUAUCUGAUCUCCCCGGCCCUCCUCUCUUCCUCGUGUUUGUUCCUUCCCAUAUGGCAACUCCUGAAAGCUGCAGGGCUCAGAUCUCUUCUCCAGUCUGAGCAUUUGAUCGCUGAUACCUCAUUUCUAACUGGCCUGGAAGCUCAUGAGUGUCUGUGUGCAACCCAGCUCUCUUCCCAGAACACCCGGCUGGCAUCUUGUGGAAGGCAGCCUCUAGAGUGACCCUGGUGAUCCCCGCUGCCUGGUACUCACAACUCCUGUUGAGUGGAGGCUGAAUCUGGUGACUUCUAGCAAAUAGGAGACCCCCAAAUUGAUGGGAUGUUCUUGAUCCCAUCAACAAGAUGAGGCUUCCAUCCUGCUGACCUUUUCUUCCUCUCUCACCUGCCCACCGUGACAGAGGCCAGCUGUGGUGCUGUGAGCUACGUUAUGGAGGACCACGUGGCCAGGAACUGGGAGCGGCUUCCAGCCAGCAGUGAGUGAGGAUCUGAAGCCCUCAGUCCAGUAGCUGCCAAGAACAGGAUCCUCCCAACAGCUACCUGAGUGAGUUUGGGAUCGCGUCCUCCCCAGUAGAAACUUCAGAUGAAAACACAGCUUCUGGGGCACCUGAGUGGCUCAGUGGGUUAAGCCUCUGCCUUCGGUUCGGGUCAUGAUCUCAGGGUCCUGGGAUCGAGCCCCACAUNN
Long non-coding RNA from Mustela putorius furo (domestic ferret), 4157 nucleotides. The record is from Ensembl. Lineage: Eukaryota; Metazoa; Chordata; Mammalia; Carnivora; Mustelidae.